GGAGGAAAAGAAACCAACAGGGAUUGCCUUAGUAGCGGCGAGUGAAGCGGCAAGAGCUCAAAUUUGAAAUCUGGUACCUUCGGUGCCCGAGUUGUAAUUUGAAGAAAGCUAUCUUGGAGGUGGCCUUUGUCUAUGUUCCUUGGAACAGGACGUCAUGGAGGGUGAGAAUCCCGUGUGAUGAGGUGUCCAUUUCCGUGUAAGAUGCUUUCGAAGAGUCGAGUUGUUUGGGAAUGCAGCUCAAAGUGGGUGGUAAAUUCCAUCUAAAGCUAAAUAUUGGCGAGAGACCGAUAGCGAACAAGUACUGUGAAGGAAAGAUGAAAAGAACUUUGAAAAGAGAGUGAAAAAGUACGUGAAAUUGUUGAAAGGGAAGGGUAUUUGAUCAGACUUGGUAUUUAGCUAUCAUCGCUCCUUGUGGGUGGUGCUCUAGCUUUUUACUGGGCCAGCAUCAGUUUUGGUGGCAAGAUAAUGACAGUUGAAUGUGGCUCCUCGGAGUGUUAUAGCUUCUGUUGAUGUUGCCUACCGAGACUGAGGUCUGCGGCUUUUGCCUAGGAUGCUGGCGUAAUGAUCCAAUACCGCCCGUCUUGA
This 585-nucleotide ribosomal RNA is filed under the name Ogataea polymorpha. Its description in RNAcentral is "eukaryotic LSU rRNA". It matches the Rfam family "Eukaryotic large subunit ribosomal RNA", at positions 52 to 657 of the family's 3401-position model. Lineage: Eukaryota; Fungi; Ascomycota; Pichiomycetes; Pichiales; Pichiaceae. The record is from RNAcentral.